UUCUCUAAGAUGACGGAGGUUGUUGUCGCUGUCGAAGAGGAAGGCCUGGUCGCUGUGCUCAUGGCUCAAAAUAUAGCUUCUGAUAUCUGCAGCGUUGGGAGGGAGACAGAAAAAAAAAAGAAGAUCAAUUCUUGUCUCUGCUAAAGACUGGUUUCACACUAAAGCCAACAUCUCAUAGGGAACAAGAACAUGCUUAAACCUAAAUAAAAUGCUAACAAACACUCAGCAAGUGAAAUGGUAAUGAAUAGCAAGAGGUAAAGAACACACAGAGGACACAUGGAACAGAGUGAACUAAAACAUGAUUCAAAUGGUACAAGAUGAAUGAUGCAAAGCGAAAAAUGUUAGCUUUGUCUUUAAUUUCUUUUAACCAUCAGAAAAAAAAUCUAAACUUUAAACCAACAAAAUUGUGAAUCAAUCGAGAACAGACAAAUCACAUGUAGGGUUUCAUUCUUCUGAAUCAAAUUAGAUCCUAUAAACGUAAAUCUAAAUAUUAAUCGAAAAAGAAAUUGAAAAUUGAGAAUCCAAAUAGCAAAAUCCAAUUCUGCAGGUAGAGGAUAGAAGAAUUAAAUU
RNAcentral lists this long non-coding RNA (570 nucleotides) under Brassica rapa (field mustard). Its description in RNAcentral is "long non-coding RNA (BRAP_LNC003042)". The record is from RNAcentral. Lineage: Eukaryota; Viridiplantae; Streptophyta; Magnoliopsida; Brassicales; Brassicaceae.